UGGCUCAGGAUGAACGCUGGCGGUAUGCCUAACACAUGCAAGUCGAACGGUGUCUUUCGAGACAUAGUGGCGGACGGGUGAGUAACGCGUGAGAAUCUGCCAUUUGGAUGGGGACAACAGCGGGAAACCGGUGCUAAUACCCAAUAUGCAUCUUUGGAUGUGAAAUAUUUAUAGCCAAAUGAGGAGCUCGCGUCCGAUUAGUUAGUUGGUGGGGUAAGAGCUUACCAAGGCAGCGAUCGGUAGCUGGUCUGAGAGGAUGAGCAGCCACACUGGGACUGAGACACGGCCCAGACUCCUACGGGAGGCAGCAGUGGGGAAUUUUCCGCAAUGGGCGAAAGCCUGACGGAGCAAUACCGCGUGAGGGAGGAAGGCUUUUGGGUUGUAAACCUCUUUUUUAAAGGAAGAAGAAAGUGACGGUACUUUAAGAAUCAGCAUCGGCUAACUCCGUGCCAGCAGCCGCGGUAAUACGGAGGAUGCAAGCGUUAUCCGGAAUCAUUGGGCGUAAAGCGUCCGCAGGUGGUUCGUCAAGUCUGCCGUUAAAGACAGAAGCUUAACUUCUGAGAGGCGGUGGAAACUGGGGAACUAGAAUACGGUAGGGGUUGAGGGAAUUCCCAGUGUAGCGGUGAAAUGCGUAGAUAUUGGGAAGAACACCAGUGGCGAAGGCGCUCA
Molecule: ribosomal RNA, 669 nt
Filed under: uncultured Xenococcus sp.
Lineage: Bacteria; Bacillati; Cyanobacteriota; Cyanophyceae; Pleurocapsales; Xenococcaceae
Description: bacterial SSU rRNA
Rfam family: Bacterial small subunit ribosomal RNA
Source: RNAcentral